GGCGCGGUGGUGGAAUGGCAGACACGAAGGUCUCAAAAACCUUUGAUCGCAAGAUCAUGAGGGUUCGACUCCCUCCCGCGCCA
RNAcentral lists this transfer RNA (83 nucleotides) under Candidatus Microgenomates bacterium. RNAcentral describes it as "tRNA-Leu". It matches the Rfam family "tRNA". From Rfam's summary of the family: Transfer RNA (tRNA) molecules are approximately 80 nucleotides in length. Lineage: Bacteria; Candidatus Microgenomatota. The record is from RNAcentral.